RNAcentral lists this ribosomal RNA (429 nucleotides) under uncultured bacterium. RNAcentral describes it as "bacterial SSU rRNA". It matches the Rfam family "Bacterial small subunit ribosomal RNA", at positions 30 to 455 of the family's 1533-position model. The record is from RNAcentral.
AUUGAACGCUGGCGGCAUGCCUUACACAUGCAAGUCGAACGGCAGCACGGGAGCAAUCCUGGUGGCGAGUGGCGAACGGGUGAGUAAUAUAUCGGAACGUGCCCAGUCGUGGGGGAUAACGCAGCGAAAGCUGUGCUAAUACCGCAUACGAUCUCUGGAUGAAAGCGGGGGACUCAGCAAUGAGCCUCGCGCGAUUGGAGCGGCCGAUAUCAGAUUAGCUAGUUGGUGGGGUAAAAGCUCACCAAGGCGACGAUCUGUAGCUGGUCUGAGAGGACGACCAGCCACACUGGAACUGAGACACGGUCCAGACUCCUACGGGAGGCAGCAGUGGGGAAUUUUGGACAAUGGGCGCAAGCCUGAUCCAGCAAUGCCGCGUGCAGGAUGAAGGCCUUCGGGUUGUAAACUGCUUUUGUACGGAAGGAAACGGCU